UACAGAGGCCACGAGCGUUAGGCGGAAUCACUGGGCUUAAAGCGUGUGUAGGUGGAUGGCUAAGUACCUUGUGAAAUCCCACGGCUCAACCGUGGAACUGCUUGGUAUACUGGUCGUCUUGAGGCACUCAGGGGCGAGCGGAACAGAUGGUGGAGCGGUGAAAUGCGUAGAUAUCAGGAGGAACACCGGUGGCGAAGGCGGGUCUCUGGGCCGAUACUGACGCUGAGGAGCGAAAGCGUGGGGAGCGAACAGG
Molecule: ribosomal RNA, 253 nt
Filed under: uncultured bacterium
Lineage: Bacteria
Description: partial 16S ribosomal RNA
Rfam family: Bacterial small subunit ribosomal RNA
Source: RNAcentral